AACGAACGCUGGCGGCAGGCCUAAACAUGCAAGUCGAGCGGGCAUAGCAAUAUGUCAGCGGCGGACGGGUGAAUAACACGUGGGAACAUGCCCUUUGGUACGGAACAACUCAGGGAAACUUGAGCUAAUACCGUAUGUGCCGGUAACGGGAAGAUUAUCGCCAAGGAUUGGCCCGCGUCCGAUUAGCUAGUUGGUGAGGUAACGGCUCACCAAGGCGACGAUCGGUAGCUGG
This 232-nucleotide ribosomal RNA is filed under the name uncultured bacterium. RNAcentral's name for it is "partial 16S ribosomal RNA". It matches the Rfam family "Bacterial small subunit ribosomal RNA", at positions 29 to 290 of the family's 1533-position model. The record is from RNAcentral.